Molecule: small nucleolar RNA, 131 nt
Filed under: Sorex araneus (European shrew)
Lineage: Eukaryota; Metazoa; Chordata; Mammalia; Eulipotyphla; Soricidae
Description: Small nucleolar RNA SNORA51 (ENSSARG00000015198.1)
Rfam family: Small nucleolar RNA SNORA51
About the family: ACA51 is a member of the H/ACA class of snoRNA that guide the sites of modification of uridines to pseudouridines.
Source: RNAcentral
AGCCUCCUGGUGCUAAACAGAGUCUGUGUUCUUUACACCGACUAUAGGAAGAGGAAGGACAGUAAUUCCACCCCAUUAUACACCUCAGCCAGGACCUUUGCCUGAUCUACAUUGUUAAUGGAGAUAUAGGG